RNAcentral lists this ribosomal RNA (429 nucleotides) under bacterium. Its description in RNAcentral is "partial 16S ribosomal RNA". It matches the Rfam family "Bacterial small subunit ribosomal RNA", at positions 355 to 776 of the family's 1533-position model. The record is from RNAcentral.
UAGGGAAUCUUCCACAAUGGACGCAAGUCUGAUGGAGCAACGCCGCGUGAGUGAAGAAGGUUUUCGGAUCGUAAAGCUCUGUUGUUGGUGAAGAAGGAUAGAGGUAGUAACUGGCCUUUAUUUGACGGUAAUCAACCAGAAAGUCACGGCUAACUACGUGCCAGCAGCCGCGGUAAUACGUAGGUGGCAAGCGUUGUCCGGAUUUAUUGGGCGUAAAGCGAGCGCAGGCGGAAGAAUAAGUCUGAUGUGAAAGCCCUCGGCUUAACCGAGGAACUGUAUCGGAAACUGUUUUUCUUGAGUGCAGAAGAGGAGAGUGGAACUCCAUGUGUAGCGGUGGAAUGCGUAGAUAUAUGGAAGAACACCAGUGGCGAAGGCGACUCUCUGGUCUGCAACUGACGCUGAGGCUCGAAAGCAUGGGUAGCGAACAGG